UAACCUGCCUCACACAGGGGGAUAACAGUUAGAAAUGACUGCUAAUACCGCAUAAGCGCACGGUACCGCAUGGUACAGUGUGAAAAACUCCGGUGGUGUGAGAUGGAUCCGCGUCUGAUUAGGUAGUUGGUGAGGUAACGGCCCACCAAGCCGACGAUCAGUAGCCGACCUGAGAGGGUGACCGGCCACAUUGGGACUGAGACACGGCCCAAACUCCUACGGGAGGCAGCAGUGGGGAAUAUUGCACAAUGGGCGAAAGCCUGAUGCAGCAACGCCGCGUGAGUGAAGAAGUAUCUCGGUAUGUAAAGCUCUAUCAGCAGGGAAGAAAAUGACGGUACCUGACUAAGAAGCCCCGGCUAACUACGUGCCAGCAGCCGCGGUAAUACGUAGGGGGCAAGCGUUAUCCGGAUUUACUGGGUGUAAAGGGAGCGCAGACGGCACUGCAAGUCUGAAGUGAAAGCCCGGGGCUCAACCCCGGGACUGCUUUGGAAACUGUAGAGCUAGAGUGCUGGAGAGGCAAGCGGAAUUCCUAGUGUAGCGGUGAAAUGCGUAGAUAUUAGGAAGAACACCAGUGGCGAAGGCGGCUUGCUGGACAGUAACUGACGUUCAGGCUCGAAAGCGUGGGGAGCAAACAGGAUUAGAUACCCUGGUAGUCCACGCUGUAAACGAUGAAUACUAGGUGU
Molecule: ribosomal RNA, 683 nt
Filed under: uncultured bacterium
Lineage: Bacteria
Description: bacterial SSU rRNA
Rfam family: Bacterial small subunit ribosomal RNA
Source: RNAcentral